AUUAGCUAGUUGGAGGGGUAACGGCCCACCAAGGCGACGAUCAGUAGCCGGUCUGAGAGGAUGAACGGCCACACUGGGACUGAGACACGGCCCAGACUCCUACGGGAGGCAGCAGUGGGGAAUCUUCCGCAAUGGACGAAAGUCUGACGGAGCGACGCCGCGUGAGUGAUGAAGGCCCUUGGGUCGUAAAGCUCUGUCAUUGGGGACGAACGACCGCUUCAGGAAAUGGGAGCGGAGUGACGGUACCCAAGAAGGAAGCCACGGCUAACUACGUGCCAGCAGCCGCGGUAAUACGUAGGUGGCAAGCGUUGUCCGGAAUUAUUGGGCGUAAAGCGCGCGCAGGUGGGAUCUUAAGUCUGUUCUGAAAGUUCGGAGCUUAACUCCGUGAUGGGAUGGAAACUGGGAUUCUUGAGUACCGGAGAGGAAAGCGGAAUUCCCCGUGUAGCGGUGAAAUGCGUAGAUAUGGGGAGGAACACCAGUGGCGAAGGCGGCUUUCUGGACGGUGUCUGACACUGAGGCGCGAAAGCUAGGGGAGCGAACGGGAUUAGAUACCCCGGUAGUCCUAGCCGUAAAC
Molecule: ribosomal RNA, 574 nt
Filed under: uncultured bacterium
Lineage: Bacteria
Description: bacterial SSU rRNA
Rfam family: Bacterial small subunit ribosomal RNA
Source: RNAcentral